GUCAAUGAUGAGUCUGUCAAAUCCGUGUUUCAGCUGAAUUUAUUUGAUGCUGACAUCAGUUAAUUUUGUCUGUUUGACUUCUGAGUA
Molecule: small nucleolar RNA, 87 nt
Organism: Trypanosoma brucei brucei TREU927
Lineage: Eukaryota; Euglenozoa; Kinetoplastea; Trypanosomatida; Trypanosomatidae
Source: RefSeq, a predicted model, not a curated record